Molecule: ribosomal RNA, 393 nt
Filed under: uncultured bacterium
Lineage: Bacteria
Description: partial 16S ribosomal RNA
Rfam family: Bacterial small subunit ribosomal RNA
Source: RNAcentral
AUACGGAGGAUCCGAGCGUUAUUCGGAUUUAUUGGGUUUAAAGGGUGCGCAGGCGGGAGAUUAAGUCGGCGGUGAAAUUUUGCAGCUCAACUGUAAAAGUGCCUUCGAAACUGGUUUCCUUGAGUGUAGAUGAAGUAGGCGGAAUUUGUGGUGUAGCGGUGAAAUGCAUAGAUAUCACGAGGAACUCCGAUUGCGCAGGCAGCUUACUAAACUACUACUGACGCUCAGGCACGAAGGCGUGGGGAUCAAACAGGAUUAGAUACCCUGGUAGUCCACGCAGUAAACGAUGAUUACUAGCUGUUUGCGAUACAAUGUAAGCGGCUGAGCGAAAGCGUUAAGUAAUCCACCUGGGGAGUACGUUCGCAAGAAUGAAACUUAAAGGAAUUGACGGGG